GGCCUUAUCGUCUAACGGUUUAGGACGUGACCCUCUCAAGGUCGAAAUACGGGUUCGAUUCCCGUUAAGGCUA
This 73-nucleotide transfer RNA is filed under the name Bacteroidota bacterium. RNAcentral describes it as "tRNA-Glu". It matches the Rfam family "tRNA". Rfam says of the family: Transfer RNA (tRNA) molecules are approximately 80 nucleotides in length. Their secondary structure includes four short double-helical elements and three loops (D, anti-codon, and T loops). Further hydrogen bonds mediate the characteristic L-shaped molecular structure. tRNAs have two regions of fundamental functional importance: the anti-codon, which is responsible for specific mRNA codon recognition, and the 3' end, to which the tRNAs corresponding amino acid is attached (by aminoacyl-tRNA synthetases). tRNAs cope with the degeneracy of the genetic code in two manners: having more than one tRNA (with a specific anti-codon) for a particular amino acid; and 'wobble' base-pairing, i.e. permitting non-standard base-pairing at the 3rd anti-codon position. The record is from RNAcentral. Lineage: Bacteria; Pseudomonadati; Bacteroidota. RNAcentral also lists the same sequence under 2 other names.